Molecule: ribosomal RNA, 472 nt
Filed under: uncultured bacterium
Lineage: Bacteria
Description: bacterial SSU rRNA
Rfam family: Bacterial small subunit ribosomal RNA
Source: RNAcentral
UGGGGAAUUUUGGACAAUGGGCGAAAGCCUGAUCCAGCAAUGCCGCGUGAGUGAAGAAGGCCUUCGGGUUGUAAAGCUCUUUUGUCAGGGAAGGAACGGUGAGAGCUAAUAUCUCUUGCUAAUGACGGUACCUGAAGAAUAAGCACCGGCUAACUACGUGCCAGCAGCCGCGGUAAUACGUAGGGUGCAAGCGUUAAUCGGAAUUACUGGGCGUAAAGCGUGCGCAGGCGGUUUUGUAAGUCUGAUGUGAAAUCCCCGGGCUCAACCUGGGAAUUGCAUUGGAGACUGCAAGGCUAGAAUCUGGCAGAGGGGGGUAGAAUUCCACGUGUAGCAGUGAAAUGCGUAGAUAUGUGGAGGAACACCGAUGGCGAAGGCAGCCCCCUGGGUCAAGAUUGACGCUCAUGCACGAAAGCGUGGGGAGCAAACAGGAUUAGAUACCCCUGUAGUCCCUGAGCGGGCUGGCAAGGCGCAU